Long non-coding RNA from Magallana angulata, 798 nucleotides. RefSeq lists it as uncharacterized. Lineage: Eukaryota; Metazoa; Mollusca; Bivalvia; Ostreida; Ostreidae. The record is from RefSeq and is a predicted model, not a curated record. The transcript has 2 exons.
UGCUAGGUAAAACUGAAUAUGUAGAACAAAAAAGAUGAUUUUCUUCGAUCUGCAGUUAAAUCACCAGUUUUGGGGUUUUUUUCUUCGGAAAAUGGUGUCUGGGAGCGGGUCAUAAAGUUAGACAGGUGAAGCGGAUGGGUGUUGGCCUGUGCUUACUGAACCAUACAGAUCCGCAGUCCCUUGAUAUAUUUUUAAAAGCUAGCAAGAGCAAAUUGACAAAAUCGGUCAGCUGUAGAGUCAUUUGUCAACUCGCUGUAAAAUGGCAGGCAAAAGCAAGCAGGAACCGGAAGUUGUGAUAGAGGAUGAAUUCGAGAGCCCGGAUAAACCUCUGUCGCCAUCGGAACGGGUUCUGUUCGGAAGUCUUGUGUUCUUUAUGUACAGUGUGUUCAUAGUCGCUGUGUGUCUAACUGCCAACUAUAACCAGUGACCAGCCGGUCCACGGUUUCAACACUGACUGGUGUAUCGACUACUCUUUUCAGACAUUGUUAGAUUCCAAAUAGACCGUCACUGUAACCAGAAGGGGAAUUUCCAUCGUGACGAAUUAUGCACGCCAACAGCUGUACAUUGUUUGUCCUCUAUAAUCAAGCUGACUAACUACUUCCAUAUUAUCUCCGAACUAUUGCUGAAGUAGAAAUUUCGAUGGGUUACUGCUUGAGUAUGAAUGACGAGAUAAUGUCAUUGAAAAUUAUGAUUGAUAUGUAAACUGAAAAUAAGGACAGUUAAGAAAUAAUCUGGCUUUCUGAUCGCUUCUCAACUUCAAUAUUAAGGUCGAAAUAAAUGUUCCUGUUGCAGCUUUUA